Molecule: ribosomal RNA, 403 nt
Filed under: uncultured bacterium
Lineage: Bacteria
Description: bacterial SSU rRNA
Rfam family: Bacterial small subunit ribosomal RNA
Source: RNAcentral
UGGGGAAUAUUGGACAAUGGGCGAAAGCCUGAUCCAGCAAUGCCGCGUGAGUGAUGAAGGCCCUAGGGUUGUAAAGCUCUUUUACCCGGGAAGAUAAUGACUGUACCGGGAGAAUAAGCCCCGGCUAACUCCGUGCCAGCAGCCGCGGUAAUACGGAGGGGGCUAGCGUUGUUCGGAAUUACUGGGCGUAAAGCGCACGUAGGCGGCUGUUCAAGUCAGAGGUGAAAGCCCGGAGCUCAACUCCGGAAUUGCCUUUGAAACUAGACAGCUUGAUCGUCGGAGAGGUGAGUGGAAUUCCGAGUGUAGAGGUGAAAUUCGUAGAUAUUCGGAAGAACACCAGUGGCGAAGGCGGCUCACUGGACGACUGAUGACGCUGAGGUGCGAAAGCGUGGGGAGCAAACAG